This 105-nucleotide non-coding RNA is filed under the name Phycisphaerae bacterium. RNAcentral's name for it is "TPP sequence". It matches the Rfam family "TPP riboswitch aptamer (THI element)". From Rfam's summary of the family: Vitamin B(1) in its active form thiamin pyrophosphate (TPP) is an essential coenzyme that is synthesised by coupling of pyrimidine and thiazole moieties in bacteria. The previously detected thiamin-regulatory element, thi box was extended, resulting in a new, highly conserved RNA secondary structure, the THI element, which is widely distributed in eubacteria and also occurs in some archaea. Analysis of operon structures identified a large number of new candidate thiamin-regulated genes, mostly transporters, in various prokaryotic organisms. Lineage: Bacteria; Pseudomonadati; Planctomycetota; Phycisphaerae. The record is from RNAcentral.
ACAUACAGCCGGGGGAGCUCUUUUCAGAGCUGAGAGGCCGCACGUGCGGCGACCCUUCGAACCUGAUUGGUUAAGACCAGCGAAGGAAGGCAAAAAAGAAAAAUU